This 2304-nucleotide ribosomal RNA is filed under the name metagenome. RNAcentral's name for it is "bacterial LSU rRNA". It matches the Rfam family "Archaeal large subunit ribosomal RNA", at positions 1 to 2306 of the family's 2987-position model. The record is from RNAcentral.
CGAGCCACCAAGCCCGCCUGGUGGAUGGCUCGGCUCGGGCGCCGACGAAGGGCGUGGCAAGCUGCGAUAAGCCCGGGGGAGGCGCAGGCAGCCGUCGAUCCCGGGAUCCCCGAAUGGGACUUCCUGCCCCAUUUGGGGCGCUCCCGGCAGGGAGCGGGAACGCGGGGAAAAGAAACAUCCGAGUACCCGCAGGAAAAGAAACCAACAGGGAUGCCGGGAGUAGGGGCGACCGAAACCGGCACAGGGCAAACUGAACCCUUCGAGGAAACUCGAAGGGGAUGUGGGGUUGCAGGGCCCCCAACACAGACCCACACUGGGAAGCCGAAGUCCCCUGGAAUGGGGCGCCAUAGAGGGUGAAAGCCCCGUAGGCGUAACCAGUGUGGGUCUCGGGGUGUCCCUGAGUACCGCGCGUUGGAUAUCGCGCGGGAAGCUGGGAGACAUUAGGCUUCCAACCCUAAAUACGUCCCGAGACCGAUAGCGAACUAGUACCGUGAGGGAAAGCUGAAAAGCACCCCUUGCGGGGGGUGAAAAGAGCCUGAAACCAGGCGGGCACGGAAUGGCACGGCCCGAAAGGUAACCACCCCGAAGGAAACUCCCGCGAGGGAGGAGUACGAGGGGUGGUAUGCCGGGGUCGUGCCGUCCGUUUCGAAAAACGGGCCGGGGAGUGUACGGGUGUGGCGAGCCUAAGGGGUUCAACCCCGGAGGCGUAGGGAAACCGACAUGCCCGCAGCCCUUAUGGGCGAGGGGCGGGGUCUUAAUGGGCCCGGAGUCACACCCGUACGACCCGAAACCGGGCGAUCUAGGCCGGGGUAGGGUGAAGCCCCCCAUCAGGGGGGUGGAGGCCCGCAGGGGUGUUACCGUGCAAAGUGCUCCUCUGACCCCGGUCUAGGGGUGAAAAGCCAAUCGAGCCCGGAGAUAGCUGGUUCCCCCCGAAAUAACCCGCAGGUUAGCCGGGGGUUAGGUAGAUGGCGGGGUAGAGCCACGGAUAGGGUGUUUAGGGGGCGAAAGCCCUCGGCACCCUGUCAAACUCCGAACCCGUCAUCGCCGUAGCCCCCGAGUGAGGGCAUACGGGUAAGCCGUAUGUCCGAGAGGGGAACAACCCGGACCCGGGUUAAGGCCCCUAAGUGCCGGCUAAGUGUAAAUGAGAAGGGAGUCCCUGGCCUAAGACAGCGGGGAGGUUGGCUUAGAAGCAGCCAUCCUUUAAAGAGUGCGUAACAGCUCACCCGUCGAGGUCAGGGGCCCCGAAGAUAACGGGGGCUAAGCCGGCCGCCGAGACCCGGGGGCGCCGAAAGGCGAUCCGGUAGGGGGGCGUCCCGCGGGGGCAGAAGCCCGGCCGUGAGGUCGGGUGGACCCCGUGGGAACGAGAAUCCCGGCAGUAGUAACAGCAAAGUGGGGUGAGAAUCCCCACCGCCGAAGGGGCCAGGUUUCCACAGCAACGGUCGUCAGCUGUGGGUUAGCCGGUCCUAACCCCCGGGGUAAUUCCCUUGGGGGGAAAGGGAAGCGGGUUAAUAUUCCCGCGCCACCGGGGUACGUGCGGCAACGCAAGGCCGGCUCCCGACGCUUCGGGGUAGGCCGACCACCCCCGUCGGGGUGGCCAAGCGCAUAAGCCCGGGGAGUGCCGUAAUGGCGAGAACCGGGCAAAAGCGUGAUGGGCCCUCCGUUAGGAGGGUUCGGCUGAGCCCUGGAGCCCGUGAAAAGGGAGCCGGCAAGGAUCCCCGGUGACCGUACCCAGAACCGACACAGGUGCCCCUAGGCGAGUAUCCUAAGGCGUGUCGGGGGAAUCCGGCCCAGGGAAGUCGGCAAAUUGGCCCCGUAACUUCGGGAGAAGGGGUGCCUGCGGUCUUCUCUAAAUGAGGGGACCGCAGGUCGCAGUGACCAGGGGGGCCCGACUGUUUAAUAAAAACACAGGUCUUGGCUAGCCCGUAAGGGUGUGUACCAAGGCCGACGCCUGCCCAGUGCCGGUACGUGAAACCCGGGUACAACCGGGCGAAGCGCCGGUAAACGGCGGGGGUAACUAUAACCCUCUUAAGGUAGCGAAAUUCCUUGUCGGGUAAGUUCCGACCUGCAUGAAUGGCGUAACGACUGCCGCACUGUCUCGGCCAGGGGCCCAGCGAAACUGUAGUCUCGGCGAAGAUGCCGAGUACCCGCGGUGGGACGGAAAGACCCCGUGGAGCUUUACUGCAGCUUGGCAUUGAAUCUUGGGGUAGGAUGUGCAGGAUAGGUGGGAGGCUGCGAAGCCGGGGCGCCAGCUCCGGUGGAGCCACCGGUGAGAUACCACCCUUCCUACCUCAGGGUUCUAACCUG